RNAcentral lists this ribosomal RNA (253 nucleotides) under uncultured bacterium. RNAcentral describes it as "partial 16S ribosomal RNA". It matches the Rfam family "Bacterial small subunit ribosomal RNA", at positions 524 to 776 of the family's 1533-position model. The record is from RNAcentral.
UACAGGGGGUGCAAACGUUGCUCGGAAUUAUUGGGCGUAAAGCGCGCGUAGGCGGCUACCUAAGUCGGAUGUGAAAGCCCCUGGCUUAACUGGGGAAGUGCACCCGAAACUGAGUAGCUAGAGUGCGAAAGAGGGUCGCGGAAUUCCCGGUGUAGAGGUGGAAUUCGUAGAUAUCGGGAGGAACACCGGUGGCGAAGGCGGCGACCUGGGUCGACACUGACGCUGAGGCGCGAAAGCGUGGGGAGCGAACAGG